CCCAGUGAACAAUUAAACGGCCGCGGUACCCUAACCGUGCAAAGGUAGCAUAAUCAUUUGUCUACUAAUUAUAGACCUGCAUGAAAGGCAAAAUGAGGGUCUAACUGUCUCUUAUAAUGAAUCAAUUAAACUGAUCUCCUAGUAAAAAAGCUAGAAUCUCCACAUAAGACCAGAAGACCCUGUGAAGCUUAAACUAAACUAUUAAACCAUAUAAUAACCACUUUCGGUUGGGGCGACCUUGGAAAAAAAAAGAACUUCCAAAAACUAUGACUAUCCAUACUACCCAGGCCAACAAGCCAAUAAACGACCCAGCACAGCUGAUCACCGAACCAAGUUACUCCAGGGAUAACAGCGCAAUCCUCUUCAAGAGCCCAUAUCAAAAAGAGGGUUUACGACCUCGAUGUUGGAUCAGGACAUCCUAA
This 422-nucleotide ribosomal RNA is filed under the name Chironius multiventris. Its description in RNAcentral is "partial 16S ribosomal RNA". It matches the Rfam family "Bacterial large subunit ribosomal RNA", at positions 1908 to 2550 of the family's 2925-position model. Lineage: Eukaryota; Metazoa; Chordata; Lepidosauria; Squamata; Colubridae. The record is from RNAcentral.